AUUUAAUUGUAUUUCUAUACACUAGCAACAAACGUUGUGAAAACAAAGUUAAGAAAACAAUUCCAUGAAAAAGAAUAAAAUACUUAGGAAUAAAUUUAGAAAAAGAAGUGCAAAAUUUAUACUCUGAAGACUAAAAUAUAUUGCUGAAAGAAAUUAAAGAUGAGUUACUUAAAAUGGGAAGAUACGUGAUGUUCAUGGAUCAGAAGAUUUAACAAAUUGUUAAGAUGGCAAUACUCCUCAAAUUGAUCUACAGAUUCAGCACAACCCUUAUCAAAAUCCCACUUGGUUUUCCUGCAGAAGUUGACAAGCUGGUCCUAAAUUCAUUCAAGGGACCCAGAAGAGUCAAAACAGUCUUGAAAAAGAAGAACAAAGUUGAAGGACUCGAACAUACUCUUUUAAAAACUUACUACAAAACUACAGUAAUCAAGACAGCUUGGUAUUGGCAUAAAGAUAAACAUAUAGGCCACUCCACACAGAAAAGCUCCACUGAUGUAGAGAAGACCUCAUUACAGACAAACAAGAUGAUGAGAAUUAAGCAUCCCUAUGGACAAAGCCAAUUAGAAAAGACGAUGGUAACCGAAGCUGUAUAGUAACGUAAACAGUCUGGGAGAGCAACUUCUCAUUUUGGCGUAAUUGAGAGAGGAAAAUGACCCAACUCUAUUUGCUAAAGUGCCACAUACUGGAUACGAUGGAGCAUGAUAUCAAAUUUAUUUCCAGCUCUUCAGAUCCUGAAGAUUCAGAACUCUAUCUGACAAGCCAAAAUGGGUUAUCCUGAGAAAGAACUUGAAACUAAGAUUUAAGAUGGAUUUCAUAUUCUCUACCUUUGGGUAUUUUUAUUGGAAAGAGCAUGACACGGGUAGAACAGGAAGAAAAGGUGGUCAUCUCCAGGUCUUUGCUCUACAUGAAUUUUCCUGAGUAUCCAGAUACUUAGAAACAUCUGAAUACUUAAAUGGGACUAAUACAAUAUUUGGGUGACUGAAAACAUUGUUUCUUUUACAUAGAAAUAUUUGGACAUUUUGCAUAGGUUAUCUAAAAUAUCAAUGAUAUAAGGUAACAUAUCAAACAUAUGCUUUGUUCUUGGUGUGAUCCUUGUCUUCACUUGCUCGCAUGAUAGUGACUUUAGUUUGGAUGAUGUAGUGGUGCCUAGAUUUCCAACUAUGUCAGAAGAAUGGACUAAUAAUUCCACUCUGGCAGCCUGACUCACUGUAAACCCAUGGCUAAAAAGGCACACAGACCUACAGAGAAUGACAGCAUCAAUGGUAUGUUAUAGAAACUCAUGCUGCACUUCUCAAAAACAAAGUUUUCUGUCUUCACAGCUUUCAAUAUAGCACCUUGCACUGAUACUAAAUUUGCUGAUUGUUUUUUAAACAAGGAAGAAGUAUACAAACAGGGAAAUAAGGUGCCUGCAACACCCCCUGUUGAAAGCUGCAUUACUUAUUCUGCUAGAAUGAGUUUAUAUUGGAUAAAUCUAGUACGACGUGAAAACCCUAUUUCCAGCUGAGACUUAAAGAUGUUUUACUAAAACAUGCUUAAGCAAAUGCAUUUUGACGCCUCACGAGGAAGAUACACACAGAGCUAUCUGUAGAAGUUCAAUAAUUUGUGUAUUGGCAGCUGAAGAAAGAUGUUCUCUUUCUGAUUUGCACUCAAAGAUUUGCAUUGACUUAAUUUAAAAUUCAUGGUAUGCACAGUAGAAAUGGUUAAAUAUGACUUUUGGAUGAUAACUAACAAGGGAAAGUAACUUUUCCUUUCCUGUUCAGUAGUUAGCUAUGCUACUGAAACUCCACAUGCUCACCCAGAAACUGUCCUUUUAGCAGAGGGUCCCUUCACCGUGACAGCCUAAGACAAUGGGACUGCUCCUUCAACUGGCCUCUCUCCACCUUCCAGGAUCCCGAAAGUUUUGAAAUCCACCUCAAGCCCAGGCAGUAGCAAACUGGGAGAGGAAUUGAAGAAGCAAAAAUAAAUAUUAAAGUACAGAAGAAUUAAAUAUUACCUAUUUAAAUGGCAAUUAGGCAGUUGAAAACAAGAUCAUCACACCUGUACAAGAAAAGGCAUACAAGCCCAAAACAUCUGCUGGGAUCCACCUGCCAGGCACCUGUUUUGCUGUUUCAAUGCCAUUUGAUUGCUGGAGAUGUAGAGGCUCUUGUGAG
This 2147-nucleotide long non-coding RNA is filed under the name Equus caballus (horse). RNAcentral describes it as "lncRNA (ENSECAG00000047317.1)". The record is from RNAcentral. Lineage: Eukaryota; Metazoa; Chordata; Mammalia; Perissodactyla; Equidae.